This 497-nucleotide ribosomal RNA is filed under the name uncultured bacterium. Its description in RNAcentral is "partial 16S ribosomal RNA". It matches the Rfam family "Bacterial small subunit ribosomal RNA", at positions 28 to 507 of the family's 1533-position model. The record is from RNAcentral.
GAUGAACGCUGGCGGCGUGCCUAAUACAUGCAAGUCGAGCGAACGGACGAGAAGCUUGCUUCUCUGAUGUUAGCGGAGGACGGGUGAGUAACACGUGGAUAACCUACCUAUAAGACUGGGAACACUUCGGGAAACCGGAGCUAAUCCCGGAUAAUAUUUUGAACCGCAUGGUUCAAAAGUGAAAGACGGUCUUGCUGGCACUAAUAGAUGGAUCUCAGCUGCAUUAGCUAGUUGGUAAGGUAACGGGCUACCAAGGCAACUAGGCAUAGCCGAACUGAGAGGCGGAUCGCCCACAUGGGAACUUAGACACGCUCCAUACUCCUACGGUACGCAGCAGUCGGGAAUCUUCCGCAAUGGUGGAAAGCCUUACGGAGCGACGCCGCGUGUGUUAUGAAGGUCUUCGGUUCGUAAUGCUCUGCUAUUGGUGAAGAACAGAUUUCGAAUGAACUGAGCACAUCGUGACGGUACCGAAUCAGAAAGCCACGGCUAACUACGUG